RNAcentral lists this unclassified non-coding RNA (202 nucleotides) under soil metagenome. RNAcentral describes it as "partial contains 5.8S ribosomal RNA, internal transcribed spacer 2, and large subunit ribosomal RNA". The record is from RNAcentral.
AACCUAGCACACCUGCGGUGUGUACCUGCGGAAGGAUCAUUACCUAGAGUUGUAGGCUUUGCCUGCUAUCUCUUACCCAUGUCUUUUGAGUACCUUACGUUUCCUCGGUGGGUUCGCCCACCGAUUGGACAAACUUAAACCCUUUGCAGUUGAAAUCAGCGUCUGAAAAACCUUAAUAGUUACAACUUUCAACAACGGAUCU